CACUCUCGACAGCGAAUAUCUCGGCUCUCUCAUCGAUGAAAAAUGUUGCGAAAUGUGAUACUUGGUGUGAAUUGCACAAUCCUUUGAACCAUCGUGUCUUUGAACUCAAGUUGUGCUCGAAGCUAUUAGGCCGAGGGCACAUCUGCUUGGGUGUCA
Solanum lycopersicum (tomato) is the source of this 156-nucleotide non-coding RNA. Lineage: Eukaryota; Viridiplantae; Streptophyta; Magnoliopsida; Solanales; Solanaceae. The record is from Rfam.